RNAcentral lists this transfer RNA (72 nucleotides) under Pangasianodon hypophthalmus (striped catfish). Its description in RNAcentral is "tRNA-Glu". The record is from RNAcentral. Lineage: Eukaryota; Metazoa; Chordata; Actinopteri; Siluriformes; Pangasiidae.
UCCCUGGAGGACUAGUGGUUAGGCUUCGGUGCUCUCACAGCUGUGGCCCGCGUUCGAACCCCGGCCAGGGAA